GACGAACGCUGGCGGCGUGCUUAACACAUGCAAGUCGAACGAGAGCGUAGAGAAAGCUUGCUUUUUCUACAAUCUAGUGGCAAACGGGUGAGUAACGCGUAAACAACCUGCCCUACGGAUGGGGACAACAGCUGGAAACGGCUGCUAAUACCGAAUACGUUCCGAAAGUCGCAUGACUAUCGGAAGAAAGGAUGGCCUCUAUUUAUAAGCUAUCGCCGGAGGAGGGGUUUGCGUCUGAUUAGCUAGUUGGAGGGGUAACGGCCCACCAAGGCGACGAUCAGUAGCCGGUCUGAGGGGAUGAACGGCCACAUUGGAACUGAGACACGGUCCAGACUCCUACGGGAGGCAGCAGUGGGGAAUCUUCCGCAAGGGGCGAAAGCCUGACGGAGCAACGCCGCGUGAGUGAAGACGGCCUUCUGGUUGUAAAGCUCUGUUAUACGGGACGAAUAAUCUUGUGGUUAAUACCCAUGAGAAGUGACGGUACCGUAAGAGAAAGCCACGGCUAACUACGUG
Molecule: ribosomal RNA, 513 nt
Filed under: uncultured bacterium
Lineage: Bacteria
Description: partial 16S ribosomal RNA
Rfam family: Bacterial small subunit ribosomal RNA
Source: RNAcentral